GUCCCCCCACCCAAGCCCAGAGCCUCCCCGGCCCCUCCCAGCGGCUCUGAUUUCAUUACCCCCCCUCCCCGGGGGCGGGCUGGCAGGUGCGGGGGUGGGAGCCGUCUCCGAGCCAAAGGUCCGGCUGCUGACGUCGGAGCGCCCGCUCCUGUCAAUGAACGGCAGCGGCAGCCUGGGGACUUGUGUGGCAACGAGGCUACAGACGUCAUCGCCUCCUGUUGGACGCGGGGGGUGUCCGAGCUGCAGCUCCGGCUUAAAGGAAAACUCUCCAAGUUCCAGGCAGCCGGGAGAGUCGUUCCUGAGAGCACAUGCACCCCCGAAAGCCCAGUGUGCGCGGCGCAGAGCCUGGCACACGCGCGCACACACGCACACACGCGCGAGCUCACACUCGCACUCCUGUUCUCGCUCGAUGUGCGGGUCCCAACUUGCGGCCGCAGAGACGCUGGGCUGAAAUGGACCGGUCUUCGUUGGUGCCGAGAGUGCUCCACGCGGCUGCCCUGGCGAUCCCGGGGGCGGGGGGCGGGGGGGAAAGAAGGACACCCCACCGGUUGUGAGUUGUCUCCCCCUUUUCUGAGAAGAUCUGCGCGAAACCCAGGGUGCCCGGAGCCUUUGGAAUAUGCCUGCGGAGCGGAGCGGAAGGAGCGUUCUUGGAGGGGUCCCGAACUUGGGCCACCGGCCUCGCUUGGCAACUUGCUUUGCGCAGUUCUCAAUGGAGCCCUGGACCCACCGUGUUCCUGGCCGGUUGGCUUCUUUUUUCCCUCCGUUUCCCUCUCUCUUUUUUAAACGUACCAACUUGAAAGGAAGCGGAGAGCAGAUCCGCGCUUCAGCACACUUUGGCGGGGUGUCCAACCCCAGAGGAAGGUUAGGAUCCAGCCCAGGAAGGCCUCCCAUGUCCGUUUCGAUAGACCUGCGGGAUCCGCCUCCAGAGCUCUGUUCAGCACCAUGUUCCCAUGUUCAAUCCCGUGUAUCUGCACCUGCAUUUCUACCCGGACUCAUGCAAAGCACAGUUUAUCUUGUGUCUGCUCAGAUCAGCUUCUCCUGCUGAGCCCUGCCAGCCUACGGCCACACCAUUCACCGGGUCACCCAACCCAGAAACCUUGGGUCAUUUGUGACGGUUGUGUAAAUUCUACCUCCGUAGUGCCUCGGUCCCCAAGGCACUUACACCUUCCCCGCUGCUGCUGUCCCAAUUCUGUCCCUCAUCAUCUCUCACUUGGAAGACUCGGGCCCCAGCUUGGGUUCGCAUGUUUCUCCUGCGCGCCCUGAACUGCUGGACGGAGUGUUCUAAAAUAAAACACGUCCAUAAUAUGCCCUUGGGGAACCCUGCGGUGGCCGGUGUCCAGGGUCGAGUUUGGCAGAAGGGUCCUUCGUUUGCCCCUCCUCGCCUCAUCACUCACCGCCUCUGACCCAACCCCAUGCUUCAGACCUCUGGGCUCCGGCACCACCUCUCUGUUCCAUCCAUCUCCUCAUCUGCCUGAAGAACUGUCUCCCGUUAAUGGCCACAGAAAUAGCUUCUCCUUUAGGAAUGGUUUCUUAAUUUCCUCAAGCAGAGGUUUUCAUUCCUUCCCACAUACUACCAGUGUACCUGAUACAUUCCCCUGAUUAUUGCAUGAGUUGAUCUGCGUGCCCAGAACAAAAUAAAUGCUUAAGAAAUA
Molecule: long non-coding RNA, 1652 nt
Organism: Mirounga angustirostris (Northern elephant seal)
Lineage: Eukaryota; Metazoa; Chordata; Mammalia; Carnivora; Phocidae
Exons: 2
Source: RefSeq, a predicted model, not a curated record